UCGGAUCAUUUGCGGCGGAGG
RNAcentral lists this non-coding RNA (21 nucleotides) under Arabidopsis thaliana (thale cress). The record is from RNAcentral. Lineage: Eukaryota; Viridiplantae; Streptophyta; Magnoliopsida; Brassicales; Brassicaceae.